AAAAGCUUAAGUUAAUCAAACUAAAAACCUUCAAAGUUUUCAUCACCUAAAAAUAGGUAGCUUUUA
RNAcentral lists this transfer RNA (66 nucleotides) under Damon diadema. Its description in RNAcentral is "tRNA-Trp". Lineage: Eukaryota; Metazoa; Arthropoda; Arachnida; Amblypygi; Phrynichidae. The record is from RNAcentral.